Molecule: ribosomal RNA, 233 nt
Filed under: uncultured bacterium
Lineage: Bacteria
Description: partial 16S ribosomal RNA
Rfam family: Bacterial small subunit ribosomal RNA
Source: RNAcentral
GACGAACGCUGGCGGCGUGCUUAACACAUGCAAGUCGAGCGGUAAGGCCCUUUCGGGGGUACGACGAGCGGCGAACGGGUGAGUAACACGUGGGUGACCUGCCCUCAGCUCUGGGAUAAGCCUGGGAAACCGGGUCUAAUACUGGAUAUGACUCCAUGACGCAUGUUGUGGGGUGGAAAGCCUUGUGCGGCUGAGGAUGGGCCCGCGGCCUAUCAGCUUGUUGGUGGGGGUGA